This 465-nucleotide ribosomal RNA is filed under the name uncultured alga. RNAcentral describes it as "SSU rRNA". The stretch from base 52 to 465 matches the Rfam family "Eukaryotic small subunit ribosomal RNA", at positions 607 to 1028 of the family's 1831-position model. The record is from RNAcentral.
CCACGGACCGUUUGCUCUGGUCACGCUCCAGCUGCACUCAGGGGCGUAUUUAAGUUGUUGCAGUUAAAAAGCUCGUAGUUGGAUUUCGGGUGGGUUUCAGCGGUCCGCCUAUGGUGAGUACUGCUGUGGCCUUCCUUACUGUCGGGGACCUGCUUCUGGGCUUCAUUGUCCGGGACAGGGAUUCGGCAUGGUUACUUUGAGUAAAUUGGAGUGUUCAAAGCAGGCUUACGCCGUGAACAUUUUAGCAUGGAAUAACAUGAUAGGACUCUGCCCUAUUCUGUUGGCCUGUAGGAGUGGAGUAAUGAUUAAGAGGAACAGUCGGGGGCAUUCGUAUUUCAUUGUCAGAGGUGAAAUUCUUGGAUUUAUGAAAGACGAACUACUGCGAAAGCAUUUGCCAAGGAUGUUUUCAUUAAUCAAGAACGAAAGUUGGGGGCUCGAAGACCAUCGCAUACCCGCGUAGUCAGG